Molecule: non-coding RNA, 210 nt
Organism: Notechis scutatus (mainland tiger snake)
Lineage: Eukaryota; Metazoa; Chordata; Lepidosauria; Squamata; Elapidae
Source: RefSeq, a predicted model, not a curated record
AAUUUUAUAGAAAAGGCUCAAUUCAAACCUGAAAUGUUCCUGCUCCAGCCAAGGAUAAGCUGCCUAUCACACCAAAGGCUGAGCUAAAACUGGGGGACGCUAGGGAGGAGCCAGGGAGGAGUAACAGUAUCCUAUUCCAUUAAGCCCAGCCUAUCCGAGCAAAGACUAAGCACCUCCUAUUCUCUGGAUGCUUGGAGCAGCUCAAUGAAG